RNAcentral lists this unclassified non-coding RNA (347 nucleotides) under soil metagenome. Its description in RNAcentral is "partial contains 5.8S ribosomal RNA, internal transcribed spacer 2, and large subunit ribosomal RNA". The stretch from base 1 to 120 matches the Rfam family "5.8S ribosomal RNA", at positions 35 to 154 of the family's 154-position model. The record is from RNAcentral.
GAUGAAGAACGUAGUGAAAUGCGAUAAUUAAUGUGAAUUGCAGAAUUCAGUGAAUCAUCGAGUCUUUGAACGCACAUUGCGCCCCCUGGUAUUCCGGGGGGCAUGCCUGUCCGAGCGUCAUUGCUGCCCUCAAGCACGGCUUGUGUGUUGGGCUUCCGUCCCUGGCAACGGGGACGGGCCCAAAAGGCAGUGGCGGCACCAUGUCUGGUCCUCGAGCGUAUGGGGCUAUGUCACCCGCUCCCGUAGGUCCAGCUGGCAGCUAGCCUCGCAACCAAUCUUUUUAACCAGGUUGACCUCGGAUCAGGUAGGGAUACCCGCUGAACUUAAGCAUAUCAAUAAGCGGAGGA